GAUGAACGCUGGCGGCGUGGAUAAGGCAUGCAAGUCAAACGGCCCCUUCGGGGGCAGUGGCAGACGGGGUAGUAACAGGUAGGAAUGUACCCAGAAGUCAGGAAUAACUCAUCGAAAGAUGAGCUAAUACUUGAUAGUCUCUUCGGAGUAAAGAUUUAUCGCUUCUGGAACAGCCUGCUUCGUAUCAGUUUGUUGGUGAGGUAAUGGCUCACCAAGACUAUGACGCGUAGGGGACCUGAGAGGGUGACCCCCACCAUUGGUACUGAGACACUGACCAAACACCUACGGGUGGCUGCAGUCGAGAAUCUUCCGCAAUGGGCGAAAGCCUGACGGAGCGACGCCGCGUGAUUGAUGAAGUCCUUCGGGACGUAAAAAUCUUUUCUCAAGGAGGAAGUUUAUUGACGUUACUUGAGGAAUAAGGGGUUGCUAAACUCG
RNAcentral lists this ribosomal RNA (435 nucleotides) under uncultured bacterium. RNAcentral's name for it is "bacterial SSU rRNA". It matches the Rfam family "Bacterial small subunit ribosomal RNA", at positions 28 to 505 of the family's 1533-position model. The record is from RNAcentral.